This 253-nucleotide ribosomal RNA is filed under the name uncultured bacterium. RNAcentral describes it as "partial 16S ribosomal RNA". It matches the Rfam family "Bacterial small subunit ribosomal RNA", at positions 524 to 776 of the family's 1533-position model. The record is from RNAcentral.
UACGUGGGUGGCGAGCGUUGUCCGGAUUUACUGGGCGUAAAGGGAGCGUAGGCGGACUUUUAAGUGAGAUGUGAAAUACUCGGGCUCAACUUGAGUGCUGCAUUUCAAACUGGAAGUCUAGAGUGCAGGAGAGGAGAAUGGAAUUCCUAGUGUAGCGGUGAAAUGCGUAGAGAUUAGGAAGAACACCAGUGGCGAAGGCGAUUCUCUGGACUGUAACUGACGCUGAGGCUCGAAAGCGUGGGGAGCAAACAGG